Molecule: ribosomal RNA, 915 nt
Filed under: uncultured bacterium
Lineage: Bacteria
Description: bacterial SSU rRNA
Rfam family: Bacterial small subunit ribosomal RNA
Source: RNAcentral
AGAGUUUGAUCAUGGCUCAGGACGAACGCUGGCGGCGUGCUUAAUACAUGCAAGUCGAGCGAGGUUACUGUUUUGGAUCCCUUCGGGGUGAAGAAGCUUUAACCUAGCGGCGGACGGGUGAGUAACGCGUGGGUAACCUACCCCAAAGUCCGGGAUAACAGCGGGAAACCGCUGCUAAUACCGGAUGCCUUUACCUUGGGGCAUCUUGAGGUAAAGAAAGGCAACGCUUUGGGAUGGGCCCGCGUCCCAUUAGCUAGUUGGUGAGGUAACGGCUCACCAAGGCGACGAUGGGUAGCCGGCCUGAGAGGGUGGACGGCCACACUGGGACUGAGACACGGCCCAGACUCCUACGGGAGGCAGCAGUAGGGAAUAUUGCGCAAUGGACGGAAGUCUGACGCAGCGACGCCGCGUGAGCGAUGAAGGUCUUCGGAUCGUAAAGCUCUGUCCUUGGGGAAGAAGGCGAAAGCUUGACGGUACCCAAGAAGAAAGCCCCGGCUAACUACGUGCCAGCAGCCGCGGUAAUACGUAGGGGGCGAGCGUUGUCCGGAAUUACUGGGCGUAAAGGGUGCGUAGGCGGCCCUUUAAGUCGGAUGUGAAAGCCCGCGGCUUAACCGCGGAAUGGCAUUCGAAACUGGAGGGCUUGAGUGUCGGAGAGGGUAGUGGAAUUCCCAGUGUAGCGGUGAAAUGCGUAGAUAUUGGGAGGAACACCAGUGGCGAAGGCGACUACCUGGACGAUAACUGACGCUGAGGCACGAAAGCUAGGGGAGCAAACAGGAUUAGAUACCCUGGUAGUCCUAGCCGUAAACGAUGGGUACUAGGUGUGGGUGGUUUCGAUACCAUCCGUGCCGUANUUAACGCAUUAAGUACCCCGCCUGGGGAGUACGUGCGUUAGCAUGAAACUCNNUGNAUUGACGG